GGCCUGGGCAAAAUGAAUUCCCCCUUCUCCAGUGAAAAAAGUAUACAAGCAAAACCACGAAAAAGGUAGAUUUACAAAACUAUUCAAAUGUUUCUUAUUUGUAAUAGCAAAAAAGAACCAAAAUUCCCACCGACAAUAUCCUGGAACAGCACCCAACUUACAACAAGAAUAAGGAAUACUGCCACACCACUGCAGAGUGGCCUCUAGGAUCCCCUGUUAACUUAAAAAGAUUAAGGUAUGGAACAAAGUUUGUGACUAUUCUACCAAUGAACCAAGACAGAGGACAACCCAGAAGACUGCACAGGGAGAGCAGAGCUGGCACAGCUUGGAGUCAGGGUUGGGAGUCAGGUGUGGUCAAGACAUGAAGCUACUAACGUCUGCAUGGUCGAUAUCAUGGACAGCCUUAAAUACAGAAUUAAGGAGCUUGGAUUUUAACCUGUAUUCCGAGUUUAAAAAAAUACUGUUUCUGACAAGUACUCUCAGAUUUUGGGAGUGGAAUUUUUAUAAAAGAUAUUUUAAAGGCUGUAAUGCUCCCGCCCCCAAAUUUAAAACGUGUUCUAGUUUUGUCAGCUUAUCCAAGUCUCCAGCAUCUUGCGAGGUUCCCCUAUGAACCCAUGGAGUAUCCAUAUUUUUAACUACUUCAAUUUUGGUAUAGCAGCAUGGCAUGGCCCCAAGGUCCAUGAUCUUGCAUGUUCCUGCAUAAAUGCUCUCCUUUCAGAGCUCCAAGUGUCUGCAUUCAAACAGUGACUAUCCAACUUUUUAAUAGCUGUUUUUCGGCAGAAAGAUGACAUAACUUCUAUGAGCCUCAGUUUUCUUAUUUUUCAAAUGGGGAUUGGGACUGUAUUCAUUGAAAUAGUGCUGAGACCCCUUCCAUGCAUAAAAAUAAUGUGGUAUCUUCAGUGUAAGAUGAAAAAAAAGUCUUCCUUUUGGUUUUUGAAGGUCUUGGAGUUUAUUAUCUAUAUCAGGUUGAACACAUCACUUGGUUAUUAGAACGUUAGAUCAUGUCCACAAUCAGAGCUCCUAUUGGAUUAUUCCAAACCCUGAGUUGCAGACAACAUUAGACAUGACAAGGAAUUCAAGCAAAAGGGAAACAGAAAACACUGUGCUUUUUCAAUGAAUCCAAUGUAGGAAUUGAGCUCCACCUUUUUCAGGAAUAGCUGCAAUUGUGGAAUCAAACAGAAGUCCCUAAAUCUCUGCAGUUUUCUGCUUGAAUGUUUCAUUUUCUAGGUCUCAGUGUAAGUUUCUAUUAUUUUGUGCCCACAUGACCUGAAUGUGACCUGACCAUUUCUGAGUAUGAGGAAUUCAAUUUUAUUGUCCAGAUAUACAGAGAGAAACAAGUUCACUGUUGAUACAAAGAGCAAAAAUGUCAAGAGAAGAGGCACUGGUGUGCAUACGUCAGAUGCCCCACUCUGCAAAAAUCAAUAAUAUCUAAGUAAUAAGAUUCCUCGGGACAUGACCCUCCAGCCACAUUCAUCUGAAGAGAGUACAGAUGUGAGGGGGAAAACUCCUGAUAACAUGUGCUGUCCCAAAGGUUUGUGUGAGUGGAGGAUAAACUAAAGAUACGUGUUUGCUGCAGUUAAGUACAUCAUUUUCUGGCAUAGCAGAGAGUAGCCAGAUUCACAGCAGAAACGACAAAGUCAUUGACUCUAAAUUAGAGGACACUUAAGUUUAGCUCCUACAUUGCUACCUGCAUUCUCUUCACAAUUCACAAUCUAUUUCAUCACAGACAGAGGUGAGACUCAUCUUCAAUACUGUAUCUCACACAACACCCACUGCUCUGUAUCAAGGCUGUAAAGGCAGAAUUCCAUUUCUCAUGCAAAUGAGGGAAACAGGAAAAGAAUACACGUGUGUAAACGAUUUACAGAGAGAAACAGCAAGUUUACUCUUGAUAUGAAGACUAAAAAUAUCAAGGGGAGAUGCUGGUGUGCAUGUGUCAGAUGCCCCACACUAUAUGUCAACAAUAUCCAAGUAACAGGAUCCCUUGAGACAUGACCCCUCCAGCCACAGUCAUCUGAAUACAGUGCAAAUGUGAGGAAAAACCUUCUUGGUGGGUAGAAGAUAAGCAAAAAACAUGUGUUAGCAGCCAUUAAUUACAUCAUUUUCUGGCAUAAGAGAAAGCAACUAAAUUCAUGAUAGAAACAACAAAGUCAUUGACUUCAAAAAAAAAAGAACAAUGAAGUUUAGCUCCUAUAUUUGCUAACUGAAUUUUCUUCAUAAUUGAAAAUCCACUUCACAGGUAGAGGUGAAACUUAUCUUCAAUACUCGAUCUCACACAGCACCUGCUGCCUUGUAUCUAGGCAGUAAGGGCAGAAUUCUAUUUCUCUUGCAAAUGAGAAAAAAGGGAAAAGGAUUUCCAUUCACUUCACCCAUGUGCUCCUUAACUACUUAUGGCAUGCAUACAGUGGGCUGCAACUGUGCAGACAAUCAAACCCAUCACCUCUUUUCCUCAUCUUUCUCACAGUGACUCAUGACUCAUGGUAUGACCACACUCAUGGCUGGCUACAAAUGAGAGGAAAAAAGAAUGUCCUGAUAGUAGCAUGUGAGGAACUGCAUCAGGUAACCAUCUUUCCCCAAAAUUCACUCUCUUUCACACCAUUUCACAGCUAUCUUCCCUCCAUUAAUGGUUCUAUUCCACUGUCCCAUUCAAAGGUUAUCCCAGUGAGAAGAUCAAGGAUGGUCGCUGUCUGCCUUUUCUUCAUUGUUCCAGUUAGGUGGCAAAUGUUAUUUAUUCAAUUUUCUUAUUUCCUCUGGCAACAUUUCAUGCAUGUAUUGAGGAAGAGCUUAACAUAUACAUG
RNAcentral lists this long non-coding RNA (2795 nucleotides) under Homo sapiens (human). RNAcentral describes it as "HSALNT0398876". The record is from RNAcentral. Lineage: Eukaryota; Metazoa; Chordata; Mammalia; Primates; Hominidae.